CUAGGGCAACAUAAACAGCAGCGGGAAGCAUUGAUUUCUAUUCAUCCUGCCCUAAAAAGAUCAGGAGUAAGAGCUUUUUAGAAAUAUGUAUUUAGAGAGAAGUACCUAUCUAUUUUGUGAUCUCUCAAGAAAGUAAUUAUGGGUGACGUUCUCCUUUUGUUCAUGUACCAGGAUUUGUGAAAUAUUAUUCACACACCGACCCACCAUCCCACGGGCCUGGCCUCUCUUGUACAGGAUAUGCAGGAAACUCUGUAUGUGUCUGGGACCCAUUAUUAAGAGUUAUGGGAGUUCAUCCUAGGAUGUCUGCCUUAUAGUUAUCUCUUCUUGCACUGAGACAUUACAGAUAUCAUUUGGGGGCUACUAUAUAUCUUCUGUAAAAUUACUUUUAUUUGUUGAGAAGAAUGCAUACUAAGUCAGGAACAUGCCUUAAUUUGUUUUGUUUUGCAUUGAGUAGAAGGGCUAAACUGUAUACCCUCCACUUUUAGGGUUAUUUGCUGUGUGCCUUUAAGUUCAAAAGUAGACACCACAGUAAAUGCUGAAAGUUGGCUUUAGGUCUUCUGUGGCUAAUGCCGUAUUAAAAAUGAAAAACAUUUGUAAUAGGAAAUUAGCCUGCCCUUCGUUCUGUUGAUCCUGUUUUCUGGUGGUCAUAAUUGUGGGUAGAAGAGAGUACAGUUUGCAAAUAAUGUGAUGAGUUGGCAAUGCAGAAGUUUCCAGCAUUUGGAAACACUUUACUCUGACAAACUGAUUAUCUUGUGAAUUUUAUCUAUGCUCCACAGAAUGAGCUUUUAAAAGCACUGAUUUUUCUUAAUUUGUGUCCAUUCAUAAGAAAUUAAUCUGUGCCCUGGUUUCCUA
RNAcentral lists this long non-coding RNA (852 nucleotides) under Homo sapiens (human). Its description in RNAcentral is "HSALNT0048163". Lineage: Eukaryota; Metazoa; Chordata; Mammalia; Primates; Hominidae. The record is from RNAcentral.